UUCUACCUAGGCCCAGAGGAUGCAGGGAGAAGAGAGCUCACCCGCCAGACACGUCCCCUCACUGGCACGUCAUAUCAGGCUUCCCCAACGCCUCAGGCCCUUUGGCAAAUAAAAUCAAAAGCUCAUUUCUAGGCACAUCCUAAAGGAAGCGACAUGUUCUUCUGCUGUACUGAAGCCGAGAGGAUGCAGGGAGAAGAGAGCUCGCCCGCCAGACACGUCCCCUCCCUGGCAGGUCAUAUCAGGUUUCCCCAACGCCUCAGGCCCUUUGGCUAAUAAAAUCAAAAGAGUCCAACGGAAUUGGAACCCACGUAUCCAGGCACCCCAUUACAGAGAAAACCCCCCUGCCCAGCUCAUUUCUAGGCACAUCCUAAAGGAAGCGACAUGUUCUUCUGCUGUACUGAAGCCGAGAGGAUGCAGGGAGAAGAGAGCUCGCCCGCCAGACACGUCCCCUCCCUGGCAGGUCAUAUCAGCUCAUUUCUAGGCACAUCCUAAAGGAAGCGACAUGUUCUUCUGCUGUACUGAAGCCGACAGGAUGCAGGGAGAA
Mustela erminea (ermine) is the source of this 544-nucleotide long non-coding RNA. RefSeq lists it as uncharacterized. The transcript is spliced from 4 exons. NCBI's taxonomy places the organism in Eukaryota, Metazoa, Chordata, Mammalia, Carnivora, Mustelidae. The record is from RefSeq and is a predicted model, not a curated record.